AUACGUAGGCACCAAGCGUUGUUCGGAAUUACUGGGCGUAAAGCGAGUGUAGGCGGUUUGCCAAGUCCGUUGUGAAAUCUCCCGGCUUAACCGGGAGGGUGCGGCGGAAACUGGCAGGCUAGAGUGCGGAAGGGGAGAGCGGAAUUCCUGGUGUAGCGGUGAAAUGCGUAGAUAUCAGGAGGAACACCGGCGGUGAAGACGGCUCUCUGGACCGCUACUGACGCUGAGACUCGAAAGCGUGGGGAGCAAACAGGAGUAGAAACCCCGGUAGUCC
Molecule: ribosomal RNA, 274 nt
Filed under: uncultured bacterium
Lineage: Bacteria
Description: partial 16S ribosomal RNA
Rfam family: Bacterial small subunit ribosomal RNA
Source: RNAcentral